AGUAAUACAUCGGAACGUGUCUUUCUAUGGGGGGUAACUGCCCGAAAGGGCAGCUAAUACCGCAUGAGACCUGAGGGUGAAAGCGGGGGAUCGCAAGACCUCGCGCUGGAAGAGCGGCCGAUGUCCGAUUAGCUAGUUGGUGAGGUAAAGGCUCACCAAGGCGACGAUCGGUAGCUGGUCUGAGAGGACGACCAGCCACACUGGGACUGAGACACAGCCCAG
This 222-nucleotide ribosomal RNA is filed under the name uncultured bacterium. Its description in RNAcentral is "partial 16S ribosomal RNA". It matches the Rfam family "Bacterial small subunit ribosomal RNA", at positions 109 to 334 of the family's 1533-position model. The record is from RNAcentral.